Molecule: ribosomal RNA, 658 nt
Filed under: Bacillus licheniformis
Lineage: Bacteria; Bacillati; Bacillota; Bacilli; Caryophanales; Bacillaceae
Description: bacterial SSU rRNA
Rfam family: Bacterial small subunit ribosomal RNA
Source: RNAcentral
UACAUGCAGUCGAGCGGACCGACGGGAGCUUGCUCCCUUAGGUCAGCGGCGGACGGGUGAGUAACACGUGGGUAACCUGCCUGUAAGACUGGGAUAACUCCGGGAAACCGGGGCUAAUACCGGAUGCUUGAUUGAACCGCAUGGUUCAAUCAUAAAAGGUGGCUUUUAGCUACCACUUACAGAUGGACCCGCGGCGCAUUAGCUAGUUGGUGAGGUAACGGCUCACCAAGGCGACGAUGCGUAGCCGACCUGAGAGGGUGAUCGGCCACACUGGGACUGAGACACGGCCCAGACUCCUACGGGAGGCAGCAGUAGGGAAUCUUCCGCAAUGGACGAAAGUCUGACGGAGCAACGCCGCGUGAGUGAUGAAGGUUUUCGGAUCGUAAAACUCUGUUGUUAGGGAAGAACAAGUACCGUUCGAAUAGGGCGGUACCUUGACGGUACCUAACCAGAAAGCCACGGCUAACUACGUGCCAGCAGCCGCGGUAAUACGUAGGUGGCAAGCGUUGUCCGGAAUUAUUGGGCGUAAAGCGCGCGCAGGCGGUUUCUUAAGUCUGAUGUGAAAGCCCCCGGCUCAACCGGGGGAGGGUCAUUGGAAACUGGGGAACUUGAGUGCAGAAGAGGAGAGUGGAAUUCCACGUGUAGCGGUGAAAUGCGU